UGCAGAUCAAGAAAAACAUGUAUUGAAGAUGAAGAUCUUUUGCAUUCAAGUGAAACUGUCAAUUCAGGACUAGAUUCUGAUACCCUAAAAGAAUAUGAAGCAGUGAAUGAAAGAAUGGGAUUGUCUUGUGGAGUUUUAAAAAAACGAUCGAAUUUAUGUUAUACUCGAUGGCAUCGACUAAGAUUAAAAACCUAAGGGUAUUACAGAAGAGGAAUAGAAUAUUACACUGUGGCAGUUGUUGAAUACUUGGGAGUAAUAGAGAAGAACAAGUAAACCUACUGCAAGACUUUUUUAGGAAAACUCGAUGAACAAUUUAUCAUGUCUAAUAUUAAUAUGAAGGUGGAGCUUAGCUCUUGCCAUUUUGCCGGGAAAUCUUUCUGAUUCAGAAUUGAACCUAUUUUACUUAAAUAAAAGCAUCUAAAUACAGAAAAGAACCUCCCAUUUUUGUGAAUAUGCAUAGGAAAUAUGGCCAAGUGACAGGUAUCCAAAGCUGAAUCUCUAAGGUGUCAUAUAUUUCUAGCUUUGGCAGAUUUUGUUGUGUAAUGGGUUUUUGCCUUCUACUAUAAAGUAAGAUCAGACAGUGUGUGGUAUUAUUUCAAAGGAUUCAGCUCCCUUAUUUAUUGACCAAUUUCUCUGAAAAUUGGAUGGGUUGCUUCUCAAAUGUGUGUUCACAAAACCGUAUCUCAGAUUUUUGAUAUCUAGCUUAGUUUUGGAAUUAUUGAGGAAAAUGUUAAAUUAGGCUAAUAAAUUGAUAAUAUUGAAGAGCAAAUGGCUGUAACUUUUGAAUUAGAAGAUUUAUAAAAAAUCUGAGAUACAGUUUUUAAGUUCAAUCUUUAAUCUACCUUGAGGCAAAAUGACCACUUUGAGGGGUUAAAUACAAAAAAGGUUGAUUUAUAAAAUAUUU
Molecule: long non-coding RNA, 904 nt
Organism: Saccostrea echinata
Lineage: Eukaryota; Metazoa; Mollusca; Bivalvia; Ostreida; Ostreidae
Exons: 3
Source: RefSeq, a predicted model, not a curated record